This 488-nucleotide ribosomal RNA is filed under the name uncultured bacterium. RNAcentral's name for it is "bacterial SSU rRNA". It matches the Rfam family "Bacterial small subunit ribosomal RNA", at positions 28 to 517 of the family's 1533-position model. The record is from RNAcentral.
GAUGAACGCUGGCGGCGUGCUUAACACAUGCAAGUCGAACGAGGAUUUAACGGAAUGCGAUUCGUCAAAUGAAAUUAAAUCCGAGUGGCGGACGGGUGAGUAACGCGUGGAUAACCUGCCUCACACAGGGGGACAACAGUUGGAAACGACUGCUAAUACCGCAUAAGCGCACAGGAUUGCAUGAUCUGGUGUGGAAAACUCCGGUGGUAUAAGAUGGACCCGCGUCUGAUUAGCUGGUUGGUGAGGUAACGGCCCACCAAGGCGACGAUCAGUAGCCGACCUGAGAGGGUGACCGGCCACAUUGGGACUGAGACACGGCCCAAACUCCUACGGGAGGCAGCAGUGGGGAAUAUUGCACAAUGGGGGAAACCCUGAUGCAGCGACGCCGCGUGAGCGAUGAAGUAUUUCGGUAUGUAAAACUCUAUCAGCAGGGAAGAUAAUGACGGUACCUGACUAAGAAGCACCGGCUAAAUACGUGCCAGCAGCCG